GCCAUCUUGGCGGACGUUUACCCAGCGCUAUUGGCGCCCACCUCACAUGGCCUAGGCCGGGCUGACUACGUCACUCCGUUUUGGCCCACGAAGCUGGCGGACGGGGUCUAUUACAAUUCUCCAGCCAUCUUGAAGUUCAGAAACACUGCUGUAACCGAGGACUUGUUACAGUAUGAUUCCAUGUCCUCCAAUUUGGGAUCCUCCAGCAGUGUCCAUGGGAGGGGAUAGAAUUGACAAGAUAGUAAGUCUUGCUUCUUUUGAACUUGAACAUGUUAUUUUCCCUCCUCCCUGGAAGCGUUUUGAUAUUUCUUUCUUGUGCCACUAGAACCAUUAGAGGCCUGCUCUGAUGUCUGAUCUUCAGAAACAGAAGAAGAAGAAUCUAAUAGAAGAAAACAUAGUAACUCGGGAUUGGUUGUUAUUUUGCUGAUGCUUCAUUACCCAGCUAGGUAAUCAUUAUCAGUAUCUUCAUUACCUAGUCAGGUAAUGAAAUGUCUGCAAGAAAACAAUCUCAGAAAGCACCAAGAACUUCACAGAAUAACCAUCUUUCUGACACUUGCCUUGAACACAGCGGGGCUUCCAAAUUGUUGAAUACUGCAGGACUGCUCAGCAAUCCAAUGAAGAGAUCAUAGAACCAGAAAAUGUUUCUUAUGGAACCUAUGACUAAAUGCAAAGAGAUCUUCCCACAGUAUUCCUGAUGAAAAGACACUUGGGCCAAGAGAUUAUGAAAUCCUGGAGCAGGUGCUACUUCUUUGGAGCAGAUAUCAGCAUCAAAAUUAGAUAAGAUGUCUAGGCUAGUAUUGUGUAUCUGAUUCCCGGUAUUUCAUUUUAUGUGUUCUUUCUCAUACCAGGAAAUGGGCAAGGAUGAACAUCAUCUGAUUUAACUAAUUUAAAAUUUAUUGUAUUUUUGUUUGCUACUCCCUCGUGCUUUUAUUUAUAAAGCUUUGAAUAUUGACUUAUCUUUCUAAGACAACUAAAAGCUCCACAACAUCAAAGAGACACAUAAGGGUGGUUCCAGUCCAAGAUCAUUGUGCCCCUCACAUAUGGAAUAGAUAAUGAACAAAAUCAGAAUGGAAGCUUUUCUGCAAUUUAAGUCCUUCCCAGUCAAGUUUUUACAAUAACGAUUUAAAACAAAUCAAAUUAUAAUGAAUAAUAAGCUAUGGAAAAAUACUCCCCCCCCACCAAUCCCAUUGCUAGUCAGCUUUAGGUUUGGUUCUUUUUUCCUUUAUUUUCAGUGCGGGGGACAUCAUCUCAUUAUGGAAGGUAUAAUAUGCACAGAUGGCUUCUUUACAUGGAAUCAAAACAUGAUAAAGUCCAAAUGGACUAACUUACAGUACAAACACGUAUCACUACUGCUGAAAUAUCUACAGCAUCAAUGGGAAAAAAUGCUUAAAUGAGGGGACUUUGGAGAUCUUGUCUAUUAAUAGUAAAUUGGCUUCUUCUUCUAUUUCUGUAUUGGAAAAGAACUUUAUCUCUUGUUUCUCUUUUCUUUGGUGCGUGUUCAAAGUUUUUAACUCCCACUUCCCCAAGUAGUGGUAUAAAAGUGGUAAAGCAUUCUAACCAUCUGGGUUUGCAAUCACAACUGCAACUAGCCUUUAACUGGCAGGCGUUUGUUCAUCUGAACCAUUAAAGCAACAUUAGCUGCAUCCUGACCGAUAAGACACUGAAGUAUCCCCCCCAAUCUAUUAAUCCAGCCUUACCAAAACUAAUGUGAAUCACCAGUAUCGAACCUUAUCUUACAAUAACUUCAGUGCAAUUAUUUCCUGGGCAAUUGGACAACACAAUCCAUGGUAUCAUCUAUCAUCAAACAACAAAGUAAUUCACUCCCUCACUUUCAGCAUCAUUUAAAAGGGUCACUUUUCAUCUCUAAUUGGUAAGAACACACAAUAGGUUUUGUAAUCCUUCUGUUUUCUUACUCUUUGCAAGCCUACUUAUUUGAAAGACAGAUUAUCUAAACAUUGGCAUGUGCCAUCCUCCAUCACAUAUUCAAUUUUCUCUGCAUAUAAUAUAUUUAUAUUUGCAGGUUCUUAGCCAUAGUUCCACAGAAAGUUGGAAGGUGUUUUCAGAUGUGAGGUAUUCAAAGAACAAGUUGUAGACAGAAAUAUGAAAAAAUGAUAAAUGCUGUCUGGAUGUCCAUAAUAUUUGGUAACCAAGGCAGGACAACUUCUUCCAGUGAGGCUUUU
Long non-coding RNA from Ahaetulla prasina, 2180 nucleotides. RefSeq lists it as uncharacterized. The transcript has 6 exons. Lineage: Eukaryota; Metazoa; Chordata; Lepidosauria; Squamata; Colubridae. The record is from RefSeq and is a predicted model, not a curated record.